Molecule: ribosomal RNA, 380 nt
Filed under: uncultured bacterium
Lineage: Bacteria
Description: bacterial SSU rRNA
Rfam family: Bacterial small subunit ribosomal RNA
Source: RNAcentral
AGUGAACGCUGGCGGCAGGCCUAACACAUGCAAGUCGAGCGGCAGCGGGUUCCCGCGAGGGGAUGCCGGCGAGCGGCGGACGGGUGAGGAACACAUCGGAAUCUGCCUGGUUGUGGGGGAUAACGUAGGGAAACUUACGCUAAUACCGCAUGCGACCCUGAGUCGACGGACUGGGGGUGAAAGUGAGGGACCUUCGGGCCGUCACGCGACCAGAUGAGCCGAUGUCGGAUUAGCUAGUUGGCGGGGUAACGGCCCGCCAAGGCGACGAUCCGUAGCUGGUCUGAGAGGAUGAUCAGCCACACUGGGACUGAGACACGGCCCAGACUCCUACGGGAGGCAGCAGUGGGGAAUCUUGGACAAUGGGCGCAAGCCUGAUCCAG